Capra hircus (goat) is the source of this 2292-nucleotide long non-coding RNA. RefSeq annotates it as basic proline-rich protein. Lineage: Eukaryota; Metazoa; Chordata; Mammalia; Artiodactyla; Bovidae. The record is from RefSeq and is a predicted model, not a curated record. The transcript is spliced from 7 exons.
AUGGUGGCGGCGCCCCCCAAACCGAGGCGUCAAUUGGCGGGAGACUCCACCUCCGGCCGGGACCCGCCCCCUUGCAACUUGAGCCCGAAGGGAUCACCCCGCGGCGCGGCCAGGGCCUUAGAAAUCACCGGCCGAGGGCGAGCACCAGCGGCUGGAAGGCGGGGCGGCCCGGCCCGGAGGCCAGAGGGGCGGGGCUGGGCCCCGAAGCCCGCUCGCCCGGACGGGCGAUCAAGACCUCGGCGGCGGCGCGGGUCAGACAGCUGGACCAGGGACCCGGGAGUCCGCGGCGGAGGUCCUCCGGCUAGCGCAGGCACCAAGCUGGCCCCGAUCCCGGCGUCCCGGCCCCGGCCCGCGCGCGCCCCUCGCCGCGCACCUGAGCGGAGAUCCCCGGCGGACAGCCGCGCCGCGCCGGAGCUCCGGUUCGCUUCCCGCGCGCCGCCGCCAACGCCGCCCCCGCCGCUGCUGCUCGUGCGGGGCCGCUGCCCAGGUGCCGCCGGAGCCUGGGUCGGCGGCCGCCGCUUCGCUGGUCCCGGCUCCCGCCCCGCCGGGGACGCCGGCCCGCAAGGAGGCAACUUUGGGCCCCCGCCGCUUGCCGCGUUCGCCCGCGGGCGCCGCUCGCCUCCCGGAGCCCGCCCGCCUCCCGCGCGCGCUCACACUCGCGCCUCGCACACGGCCGCCCCCCGCACCGCCCCGCCACGCACACCGCGCUCGGCGCCCCCCGCCAUCGCCCGAGGCCGCCGCGCGCCGCGCGGGCCGUGCCCGCCCCGUCCCAUAGCGCCCCAGCUCUGCGCCGCAGCUCUCGGGUCAGCGGCCUCCGGUUCCCGGCGGGGAGGUGCGGAGGGCAGGGCUAGCGGGCGGGUUGGCGACCGGCGUCAGAAACGCGGAGGCCCGGGGAAGCGCUCCCCUCUCGCCGCUCGCCUCGGCCGGCGCAGCCCCGGCCGCUGGGCGCACCCGUCCCGUGCGUCCCCGGACGUCGCUCUCUGCCCCGGGAACGUCGGGACUGGAGCGCCCGCGCUGAGCCACCUUCACCGACCCAGAGCGCUGCGGCUCGACUCACCGCGGAGACGCUGGGACGCGGGGAACGCUCGCAUCCUGGGCAGAGGUGGAAGCUCGCUGAUCCGGAUCCGGCGAGGGCACCGCUCUCGGCGGCGGCGGCGGCGGCGGCUAGGGAACAAGUCUCUGGGAGUCAACCUAGGGCACCGAGCCCCAACCCAGGACCCGGCGGGCCCCAGCGGGCGCGGAGAGAGAUGCGCGUCUCGGGCAGAGCCAGGCGAUGCCGCCUGGGGCGGCGGCGUUGGGUGCUGCAGAGCCCGGGAACUUCCCACCCAGAGGAAAGGCCGCCUCAUCCCGGUCCCCGCUGUUCACGCCCCCGGCACUGCCCAUCAGCACCGUGGGCAGGGGUCUUUAGGACAUCCGACCAUCCGGCUCCCACAGCCCCUUGUGCAGGUGAGGACAGUCCGAGCUCCAAGUGGCCUUUGGGACGCAGGCCCCGUGCAGAGACUCUUGCUUCUCUGUCUCUGCCCGGCCCUCCCUCCCUCUCUUCCGCCUCCUAAACCCUUUUCCCUCCCAAGCAGCCCCUGCCCCCUUCCCCGCCUCCCCAGGCCGCUUCCUCCCAGCUGCCCACGUCUUGUCCUGACUUGCCCUCACCUGAGGCCAAGUCUUACCUGGGACCUGGAAGAUCCAGGCCUCAGGCCCUGGGGGACCAGAGUUGGAGCCUGGGCUGUGCCCACGCCAGUGGGCUGGCUGGGCCGACCGCCUCCUUCCUUCCUGCCUGCCCUGCGGCAGCUCCAGCAGGGGGCGGGCCGGGGAAAGAAAGGGAAGGACAAGUUGGCCUGGGUCUCCUGGGUGUCCAGGAGCAACUUGGAUUGGGGGAGGGGGUUGGGCAGGUGGCUGGGGCCCCUGGGUAGAGCAGGGAGGGCGUCACUGCUCCCCAGAAACCUUGCUCCCCAGACCAUCCUCUCUGGCCCCUCCCCCAUACUGCCCUGUGUGGGUGGCGGGAGAGGGGCCUCCUGGCCUGUGUCUCCCUCCAGGUAAUGAAGCUCCCAGCUGCCAGAUAGAUGGAUGCUGAGACUCCCCGUGGGGCGCUCAGGGGCCCCCCUGCAGGAGGGCCCCCCUGGGGCUUCAGCGGGGAGCAGGGGCAGCUAGCACACCUGGCCAAGCAUGUCGAAGAGCAACAGCUGCUGCCCAGACCCUGCCUCUCCCAGGCCGGCCCAGCCAGGAUCCUCUGCAGCUACGAUCCUGCCCCCCACCCCCCUGCGUCCCCAAGGAAUCCAAUAAAGCUUUGUGAAACCA